This 242-nucleotide ribosomal RNA is filed under the name uncultured Burkholderiaceae bacterium. RNAcentral's name for it is "partial 16S ribosomal RNA". It matches the Rfam family "Bacterial small subunit ribosomal RNA", at positions 530 to 771 of the family's 1533-position model. Lineage: Bacteria; Pseudomonadati; Pseudomonadota; Betaproteobacteria; Burkholderiales; Burkholderiaceae. The record is from RNAcentral.
GGGUGCAAGCGUUAAUCGGAAUUACUGGGCGUAAAGCGUGCGCAGGCGGUUAUGUAAGACAGAUGUGAAAUGCCCGGGCUUAACCUGGGAACUGCAUUUGUGACUGCAUGGCUAGAGUGUGUCAGAGGGGGGUAGAAUUCCACGUGUAGCAGUGAAAUGCGUAGAUAUGUGGAGGAAUACCGAUGGCGAAGGCAGCCCCCUGGGAUAACACUGACGCUCAUGCACGAAAGCGUGGGGAGCAA